UAGCUAGUUGGUGAGGUAAAGGCUUACCAAGGCGACGAUCUGUAGCGGGUCUGAGAGGAUGAUCCGCCACACUGGAACUGAGACACGGUCCAGACUCCUACGGGAGGCAGCAGUGGGGAAUUUUGGACAAUGGGGGCAACCCUGAUCCAGCCAUGCCGCGUGAGUGAAGAAGGCCUUCGGGUUGUAAAGCUCUUUCGGCCGGGAAGAAAUCGCAUGGGCCAAUACCCUGUGUGGAUGACGGUACCGGAAUAAGAAGCACCGGCUAACUACGUGCCAGCAGCCGCGGUAAUACGUAGGGUGCGAGCGUUAAUCGGAAUUACUGGGCGUAAAGCGUGCGCAGGCGGUUUUGUAAGACAGGCGUGAAAUCCCCGGGCUUAACCUGGGAACUGCGUUUGUGACUGCAAGGCUAGAGUACGGCAGCGGGGGGUGGAAUUCCACGUGUAGCAGUGAAAUGCGUAGAGAUGUGGGAACACCAAUGGCGAAGGCAGCCCCCUGGGUCGAUACUGACGCUCAUGCACGAAAGCGUGGGUAGCAAACAGGAUUAGAUACCCUGGUAGUCCACGCCCUAAACUAUGUCAACUAGGUGUUGGGUGGGUAAAACCAUUUAGUACCGUAGCUAACGCGUGAAGUUGACCGCCUGGGGAGUACGGCCGCAAGGUUAAAACUCAAAGGAAUUGACGGGGACCCGCACAAGCGGUGGAUGAUGUGGAUUAAUUCGAUGCAACGCGAAAAACCUUACCUACCCUUGACAUGCCAGGAACUUGCCAGAGAUGGCUUGGUGCCCGAAAGGGAGCCUGGACACAGGUGCUGCAUGGCUGUCGUCAGCUCGUGUCGUGAGAUGUUGGGUUAAGUCCCGCAACGAGCGCAACCCUUGUCGUUAAUUGCCAUCAUUUAGUUGGGCACUUUAACGAGACUGCCGGUGACAAACCGGAGGAAGGUGGGGAUGACGUCAAGUCCUCAUGGCCCUAAUGGGUAGGGCUUCACACGUCAUACAAUGGUCGGUACAAAGGGUUGCCAAGCCGCGAGGCGGAGCCAAUCCCAGAAAGCCGAUCGUAGUCCGGAUUGCAGGCUGCAACUCGCCUGCAUGGAGUCGGAAUCGCUAGUAAUCGUGGAUCAGCAUGUCACGGUGAAUACGUUCCCGGGUCUUGUACACACCGCCCGUCACACCAUGGGAGCGGGUUCCGCCAGAAGUAGGUAGCCUAACCGCAAGGGGGGCGCUUACCACGGCGGGGUUCGUGACUGGGGUGAAGUCGUAACAAGGUAGCCGCAGGGGAACCUGCGGCU
RNAcentral lists this ribosomal RNA (1284 nucleotides) under metagenome. RNAcentral's name for it is "bacterial SSU rRNA". It matches the Rfam family "Bacterial small subunit ribosomal RNA", at positions 242 to 1519 of the family's 1533-position model. The record is from RNAcentral.